Molecule: long non-coding RNA, 2244 nt
Organism: Fukomys damarensis (Damara mole-rat)
Lineage: Eukaryota; Metazoa; Chordata; Mammalia; Rodentia; Bathyergidae
Source: Ensembl
GGGCAUGAGUGGUUGUGUGAGGUUCAAUCUGUAUCAUUUCCUCUAGAAGUCAGGCUGGGCUGGCACUGCAUGUUCCUGGGGUCCCAGUGACACUCUCUUGCCACACCCACUUGUCCCUGCCCACUUAGUGCCCCACCUACUCCUCUCUGAAACACCAGUGUGGGCGAGAUCCUACCCUCAGCCUUCUGUCAGUGCCAUUGGUGCAGCUCAGAAAGAGGUCUGUGACCCCACAGUGCAGCUGGUUCGACUUCUUGCUCCACUCAACACAGUGACCUGUGCGCUGCUUCUGCUGCUCUUCAUCUGUUGCCAUGCCCAGAGCUCAAGUGUGGCCUCCGAAGCACAGAGAGUCGGGCCUGCCCAUGGCCCAACACUAAGGAGGACAUGCAGGAAGAGGGAUCUGGGGAGCCCCGCAUGGGCAGAGGAAGGACAAGGACCUGAGAUAACAGAAGGGUGGUGCCAGAGAGAUGCCAGCUGGUGGAGAUGACAACAGCAGGGGAACAGUGGCCUUAGCUGAACACCUUUCUUCACCCUGAGGCACAGAGAGAAGCAGGACCAACCAAAAGAUGCACAGCACCCAGGUCUGAGCCCAUUGUGUGGCAGAAAGAAGAGUUAAUAAACACAAAGUUCCCAUCAUCCAUUUUCAACAACUAUGAGUACUUGGACAACCUAAUUCUAUCUGUGCUUUUUGGUGACAAUCAAGUGCUUCCUUUCUUCCUGACCUGAGUCACAGUGGAGUUCAGGGUUCUUAUGGUUUGGUUAUAUUCGUUGCAUGAAGGAUGCUUUCUUUGCCAUUCCACCUUGAGUGUGAGAUCCCCAAAGAUUGGAGACUUUUCAGUCUAUUUCUACAGUCCUCCAAGGACUGGAGUUAGUGCAAAGGCCAUUCCCGCCACAUCAGCAUGUGAGGCCCUUUGCUUGAGCUCCUAGAGCCAAAUGUUGGUUCCAAGCCACAAGGAGCCUGAGAGGGCCUGGUUGGGUAAGCUGGGGCUAAGAUGAGGGACAGCAGUGGGACACUGGGAGAAUGUGUCAAGCCAGUGUUCGCAGAUCGGGUUCCCUUUAUAAUGCUUGUGGAGCAUGACAAGGACAUGGCAACAUCCCCAGUGUGGGAGGCAGCUGCCUAGAAAGAGCCAUCCCUGAUGUGCAUCUCUGUGCCCACAGCCCAGGACUCUGCCACCCCCUCUCAACUAGGUGCACAGCAGUUUCAUCCACACGGAUAGCACCAAUCUGGGGUCCACAUCUUCCUGGGAAUUCCCUUUGCCAAGUCACCUUUAGGACCACUGCAGUUUGUGUUGCCUGAGGCCCCUGAAUCCUGGAGUGGUGUGCAGAAUGGAACUUCUUGCCAUGCCAACUAAGCUCUCUGGGAAGUUAGGGAAAUUCAGACCCUGAGGAGGGUUCAGAUGCUCUGAGCUCUGGGCCAGGCUGCAGUAGUUCUGCCAUCUAAACCCCACAGCCAGUUCUCAUCUGCAUUGGAGGGAUUCUCACAGUGAGACCUGGCUCUGGGUUUGGCACCCAGAAGGCAUCAGCUCUUGGUACUGAAGAGAGGAAUUGAGACAUAUUUGUCCUCAUAUUUGCAUUAUGCCAAGUAUUCUCUGCCACCAGAGGAGGUGUCUCAGGAGAGGGUAUGGUUGGCUCUAUGAAUGUAUAAGAAAUUCUGACUCCAGCAACAGAUACUGAAGACACCUGAGGAGGACAGAAGUGGUGGCUUCUUGGAGACCCCAUCCUUCACACAGAGUGUAUCAGCUGAUAGGGCUAGAUGCCCCUAUCCGAGGUACAAGUCCAUGUUGUUACAAGUGGAAACUCUGUUGGGGAGAUGAGUUUCCCUAACAGUCUAGCCUUGGGAUGGAGUACACUCCACGACUCUUCUUUGGAAAACUAACCUCUAUUCCCACCUGCAACACCUGUGUCAGGCUCCUCUCCUGUUCCUGAACCAGAUGGUUAUAGAGAUAAACAGUGAACGUCAACACCUAUAGCCAAUGGUUCCAACAGAGACACCUAAUAGCCACUAUUGCCCAGCCUCAGGAGGAGUAGGACUCCAAGAACUUCAUCAACCUUGAAACCUCCCUGGAAAUCUGAGCUCCAUCCUAGCACCCCUGCCUGCAGCCUGUGCCUGGAUGUACAGGUACUUCAGAGAAAGUCUUCUAUCUAUUCUCAGCUACACUGAGCCAAAGCAAUGGAUAGUGUAUGAGUAGACCAGCAGGUGUGGGCUGGAUGAGACACAUAUGGCAUCUGUCUUGAUUUUUCCAGGUA